GAUCCUGGCUCAGGAAGUCGUAACAAGGUAACCGUAAAGUUUGAUCCUGGCUCAGGAAAUCGUAACAAGGUAACCGUAAAAUUUGAUCUAUGGCACGGGGAUAACUAUUGGAAACCAUAGCUAAUACCGCAUAACAGUAUGUAACACAUGUUAGAUGCUUGAAAGAUGCAAUUGCAUCGCUAGUAGAUGGACCUGCGUUGUAUUAGCUAGUAGGUAGGGUAAAGGCCUACCUUAGGCAACGAUACAUAGCCGACCUGAGAGGGUGAUCGGCCACACUGGGACUGAGACACGGCCCAGACUCCUACGGGAGGCAGCAGUAGGGAAUCUUCGGCAAUGGGGGGAACCCUGACCGAGCAACGCCGCGUGAGUGAAGAAGGUUUUCGGAUCGUAAAGCUCUGUUGUUAAGGAAGAACGAGUGUGAGAAUGGAAAGUUCAUACUGUGACGGUACUUAACCAGAAAGGGACGGCUAACUACGUGCCAGCAGCCGCGGUAAUACGUAGGUCCCGAGCGUUGUCCGGAUUUAUUGGGCGUAAAGCGAGCGCAGGCGGUUAGAAAAGUCUGAAGUGAAAGGCAGUGGCUCAACCAUUGUAGGCUUUGGAAACUGUUUAACUUGAGUGCAGAAGGGGAGAGUGGAAUUCCAUGUGUAGCGGUGAAAUGCGUAGAUAUAUGGAGGAACACCGGUGGCGAAAGCGGCUCUCUGGUCUGUAACUGACGCUGAGGCUCGAAAGCGUGGGGAGCGAACAGGAUUAGAUACCCUGGUAGUCCACGCCGUAAACGAUGAGUGCUAGGUGUUAGGUCCUUUCCGGGACUUAGUGCCGCAGCUAACGCAUUAAGCACUCCGCCUGGGGAGUACGACCGCAAGGUUGAAACUCAAAGGAAUUGACGGGGGCCCGCACAAGCGGUGGAGCAUGUGGUUUAAUUCGAAGCAACGCGAAGAACCUUACCAGGUCUUGACAUCCCGAUGCUAUUUCUAGAGAUAGGAAGUUUCUUCGGAACAUCGGUGACAGGUGGUGCAUGGUUGUCGUCAGCUCGUGUCGUGAGAUGUUGGGUUAAGUCCCGCAACGAGCGCAACCCUUAUUGUUAGUUGCCAUCAUUGAGUUGGGCACUCAACCAAGACUGCCGGUAAUAAACCCGAAGGAAGGUGGGGGAUGACCGUCAAAUCAUCAUGCCCCUUAUGACCUGGGCUACACACGUGCUACAAUGGCUGGUACAACGAGUCGCAAGCCGGUGACGGCAAGCUAAUCUCUGAAAGCCAGUCUCAGUUCGGAUUGUAGGCUGCAACUCGCCUACAUGAAGUCGGAAUCGUUAGUAAUCGUCGAUCAUCACGACGUGGUAACA
Molecule: ribosomal RNA, 1339 nt
Filed under: Streptococcus anginosus
Lineage: Bacteria; Bacillati; Bacillota; Bacilli; Lactobacillales; Streptococcaceae
Description: bacterial SSU rRNA
Rfam family: Bacterial small subunit ribosomal RNA
Source: RNAcentral